GCUGGGCAUGGUGGCGCGUGCCUGUAGUCCCAGCUACUCGGGGGGCUGAGGCAGAAGAAUCGCUUGAACCCAGGAGGUGGAGGUUGCAGUGAGCCGAGAUCACGCCACUGCACUCCAGCCUGGGUGACAGAGCGAGACUCUGUCUUAA
This is an unclassified non-coding RNA of Macaca fascicularis (crab-eating macaque), 148 nucleotides long. It matches the Rfam family "Metazoan signal recognition particle RNA". Rfam says of the family: The signal recognition particle (SRP) is a universally conserved ribonucleoprotein. The record is from Ensembl. NCBI's taxonomy places the organism in Eukaryota, Metazoa, Chordata, Mammalia, Primates, Cercopithecidae.